CGGAGCAUGAGGGUCGGCCUAGCUCUGGUCUGUACAGGAGAGGGCGCCAUCUGCCGCGGAUAGCGAGGCGCCUGCGCGCUGCUGGGCCCCAGUGUGGCGCUCGCCCUCGGGCUUCCUGAGUGUCUGCUGCUGCGUGGGAAUGCGUGAGGCCCCGGCCCAGGCUGCGGGGGCUGACGGUGCUCCAGGGCUGGGGCUCGGUCCUCCCCAGCUCCGCCUGCUCGUUCCCCGGGUUUCCAAAAAAAAUCAACUUCACAAGUAAAUGAUAGCAAAGGCAUGGACAGGUUCCAAGGAAGGACCUAAUAAUACACAAGUAACUGCAAAGCACGAAAUUUCUGAAGAAGUAGGAUCACUGGUGGCAAUAUUCAGACAACCAAAGGAUGAUCCCCAAGUACUUAAGUUUGGAGAAACCUGUAAACAUGAGCACAGAUUAGGAAGGCAGAAAGAAAACUUUGAGAAACAAACUCUGAGGAACUCUCAUCCUCAGGAGAGAUGUUUUGAGCAGGUGAUCUUCACUCAAGAAAAUCCAAAUUGGAAAGCAAGCCCAGGAGUAUAAUAAAUGGGAAAGAAAUUUCAGUCUGAGCUCAGAUCUUGUUACAUAUCAGAAAGAUCUCAUAGGAAGGAAACACCACAAAUGUGAUAUAGGUGGCAAGAGCUUCAAAUAUAAUUCAUUUCUGGUUAGACACCGCAUAAUUCAUGAUGGAGGAAAACAUCAUGGAUGUGAUCAAUGUGGGAAAACCUUCAGUCAGACUUCGCAACUCAGUCAGCACCUGAAAAUGCAUAUUAAAGAAGAUCUGUAUGAAUGUAAUGAAUGUGGAAAAGCCUUCAGCCAGAAUUCAAAUUUUAUUCGACAUCAAAGAAGCCAUACUGGACAAAGGCCAUUUGCAUGUAAUGAAUGUGGGAAAGCCUUUAGCCAGAGUUCAGACCUUAUUCAGCAUCAAAGAAUUCACACUGGAGAAAAACCAUAUGCAUGUAAUGAAUGUGGGAAAGCCUUUAGUUCAAUUUCAACCAUUACU
This 1013-nucleotide long non-coding RNA is filed under the name Phascolarctos cinereus (koala). RNAcentral's name for it is "lncRNA (ENSPCIG00000036632.1)". The record is from RNAcentral. Lineage: Eukaryota; Metazoa; Chordata; Mammalia; Diprotodontia; Phascolarctidae.